UUGCCCGUCUGACGACGGGCAACACCAACGGUAACUACCGAUCAUGCCCGACUGGAACGUGUCGGCCUAACAGGCCAACACUGCCUCCGAUCGCCUGAAAGCCGAUCUCGCAUCACCGACUCCCUGUCGGGUGGGACAUCACCGACUCCCUGUCGGUUUGGACAACCGACGUCCGACCUCUACAGAUCCUUCUGGACGCCGAA
This 203-nucleotide long non-coding RNA is filed under the name Elaeis guineensis (African oil palm). Its description in RNAcentral is "long non-coding RNA (EGUI_LNC003430)". The record is from RNAcentral. Lineage: Eukaryota; Viridiplantae; Streptophyta; Magnoliopsida; Arecales; Arecaceae.